GAGGGUAUACCUCAGUAGUAGAGUGCAUGCCUAGCAUGCAUGAGGUCCUGGGUUCAAUCCCCAGUACCUCCA
RNAcentral lists this transfer RNA (72 nucleotides) under Camelus bactrianus (Bactrian camel). It matches the Rfam family "tRNA". From Rfam's summary of the family: Transfer RNA (tRNA) molecules are approximately 80 nucleotides in length. Their secondary structure includes four short double-helical elements and three loops (D, anti-codon, and T loops). RNAcentral also lists the same sequence under 2 other names. Lineage: Eukaryota; Metazoa; Chordata; Mammalia; Artiodactyla; Camelidae. The record is from Rfam by way of RNAcentral.